This 447-nucleotide ribosomal RNA is filed under the name uncultured bacterium. Its description in RNAcentral is "bacterial SSU rRNA". It matches the Rfam family "Bacterial small subunit ribosomal RNA", at positions 355 to 825 of the family's 1533-position model. The record is from RNAcentral.
UCGGGAAUUUUGGGCAAUGGGGGAAACCCUGACCCAGCAACGCCGCGUGAAGGAUGAAGUAUUUCGGUAUGUAAACUUCGAAAGAAUAGGAAGAAUAAAUGACGGUACUAUUUAUAAGGUCCGGCUAACUACGUGCCAGCAGCCGCGGUAAUACGUAGGGACCAAGCGUUGUUCGGAUUUACUGGGCGUAAAGGGCGCGUAGGCGGCAUGACAAGUCACUUGUGAAAUCUCUGGGCUUAACCCAGAACGGCCAAGUGAUACUGUCGCGCUAGAGUGCAGAAGGGGCAAUCGGAAUUCUUGGUGUAGCGGUGAAAUGCGUAGAUAUCAAGAGGAACACCUGAGGUGAAGACGGGUUGCUGGGCUAACACUGACGCUGAGGCGCGAAAGCCAGGGGAGCAAACGGGAUUAGAUACCCCCGUAGUCCCUGAGCGGGCUGGCAAGGCGCAU